This 440-nucleotide ribosomal RNA is filed under the name uncultured bacterium. RNAcentral describes it as "partial 16S ribosomal RNA". It matches the Rfam family "Bacterial small subunit ribosomal RNA", at positions 338 to 795 of the family's 1533-position model. The record is from RNAcentral.
CCUACGGGUGGCUGCAGUGGGGAAUCUUGCACAAUGGGGGAAACCCUGAUGCAGCGACGCCGCGUGAGUGAUGAAGCCCUUCGGGGUGUAAAGCUCUUUCGACAGGGACGAUAAUGACGGUAUCUGGAGAAGAAGCUGCGGCUAACUACGUGCCAGCAGCCGCGGUAAUACGUAGGCAGCAACCGCUGUUCGGAGUUACUGGGCGUAAAGAGUGCGUAGGCGGUUCGCCAAGUUUGGUGUGAAAUCUCCCGGCGUAACUGGGAGGGUGCGCCGAAAACUGGCGGGCUUGAGUGUGGGAGAGGGAGGCGGAAUUCCUGGUGUAGCGGUGAAAUGCGUAGAGAUCAGGAGGAACACCGGUGGUGUAGACGGCUUCCUGGACCACAACUGACGCUGAGGCACGAAAGCGUGGGUAGCAAACAGGAUUAGAUACCCGAGUAGUC